UACGGGGGAUGCAAGCGUUAUCCGGAUUUAUUGGGUUUAAAGGGUGCGUAGGCUGUGAGGUAAGUCAGCGGUGAAAUGCCCCCGCUCAACGGGGUGAAGUGCCAUUGAUACUGUUCGGCUAGAGAGUAGUUGCGGUAGGCGGAAUGUAUGGUGUAGCGGUGAAAUGCUUAGAGAUCAUACAGAACACCGAUUGCGAAGGCAGCCUGCUGGACUGUAACUGACGCUGAUGCUCGAAAGUGUGGGUAUCAAACAGG
This 254-nucleotide ribosomal RNA is filed under the name uncultured bacterium. Its description in RNAcentral is "partial 16S ribosomal RNA". It matches the Rfam family "Bacterial small subunit ribosomal RNA", at positions 524 to 776 of the family's 1533-position model. The record is from RNAcentral.